CCAGACUCCUACGGGAGGCAGCAGUGGGGAAUAUUGGGCAAUGGGCGCAAGCCUGACCCAGCAACGCCGCGUGAAGGAAGAAGGCUUUCGGGUUGUAAACUUCUUUUGUCAGGGACGAAGCAAGUGACGGUACCUGACGAAUAAGCCACGGCUAACUACGUGCCAGCAGCCGCGGUAAUACGUAGGGGGCAGGCGUUAUCCGGAUUUACUGGGUGUAAAGGGGGCGCAGACGGCGAUGCAAGCCAGGAGUGAAAGCCCGGGGCCCAACCCCGGGACUGCUCUUGGAACUGCGCGGCUGGAGUGCAGGAGGGGCAGGCGGAAUUCCUGGUGUAGCGGUGAAAUGCGUAGAUAUACGGAGGAACACCAGUGGCGAAGGCGGAUUGCUGGACAGUAACUGACGCUGAGGCGCGAAAGCGUGGGGAGCAAACAGGAUUAGAUACCCUUGUA
This 447-nucleotide ribosomal RNA is filed under the name uncultured bacterium. RNAcentral describes it as "bacterial SSU rRNA". It matches the Rfam family "Bacterial small subunit ribosomal RNA", at positions 331 to 792 of the family's 1533-position model. The record is from RNAcentral.